This is a non-coding RNA of Gossypium raimondii (Peruvian cotton), 138 nucleotides long. The record is from Rfam. Lineage: Eukaryota; Viridiplantae; Streptophyta; Magnoliopsida; Malvales; Malvaceae.
UUUUAAAAAUUUCAUCCCUUUGUAUUGUUAAAAACCAACAUGGCUAAAAGAAUAACUAGAUAGUGACAUGUACGCGUACGUCCUGCUGACGUACAAGAACUAGUUUUUAAAGGUAAAAAUAGAUGAAUUCUUUUAUAA